GGAAGUGCCAUAGCUUAGUGGCAGAGCAUCCACAUUGCAUGCAGAAGGUCCUUGGGUCAAUCCCUGGCUUCUCCA
Podarcis lilfordi (Lilford's wall lizard) is the source of this 75-nucleotide non-coding RNA. NCBI's taxonomy places the organism in Eukaryota, Metazoa, Chordata, Lepidosauria, Squamata, Lacertidae. The record is from the annotation of a GenBank genome assembly.